GCAGGAAGUGCUUGCACUUUGCUGACGAGUGGCGGACGGGUGAGUAAUGCUUGGGAACUUGCCUUUAGGUGGGGGAUAACAGUUGGAAACGACUGCUAAUACCGCAUAAUGUCUACGGACCAAAGGGGGCUUCGGCUCUCGCCUUGAGAGAGGCCCAAGUGAGAUUAGCUGGUUGGUGGGGUAAAGGCCUACCAAGGCAACGAUCUCUAGCUGUUCUGAGAGGAAGAUCAGCCACACUGGGACUGAGACACGGCCCAGACUCCUACGGGAGGCAGCAGUGGGGAAUAUUGCACAAUGGGGGAAACCCUGAUGCAGCCAUGCCGCGUGUGUGAAGAAGGCCUUCGGGUUGUAAAGCACUUUCAGUUGUGAGGAAAGGUUGGUAGUUAAUACCUGCCAGCUGUGACGUUAACAACAGAAGAAGCACCGGCUAACUCCGUGCCAGCAGCCGCGGUAAUACGGAGGGUGCGAGCGUUAAUCGGAAUUACUGGGCGUAAAGCGCACGCAGGCGGCUUGUUAAGCUAGAGGUGAAAGCCCCGCGCUCAACGUGGGAACUGCCUUUAGAACUGGCAGGCUAGAGUCUUGGAGAGGGGAGUGGAAUUCCAGGUGUAGCGGUGAAAUGCGUAGAUAUCUGGAGGAACAUCAGUGGCGAAGGCGGCUCCCUGGCCAAAGACUGACGCUCAUGUGCGAAAGUGUGGGUAGCGAACAGGAUUAGAUACCCUGGUAGUCCACACCGUAAACGCUGUCUACUAGCUGUUUGUGUAUUUAAUACGUGAGUAGCGAAGCUAACGCGCUAAGUAGACCGCCUGGGGAGUACGGCCGCAAGGUUAAAACUCAAAUGAAUUGACGGGGGCCCGCACAAGCGGUGGAGCAUGUGAUUUAAUUCGAUGCAACGCGGAGAACCUUACCUACUCUUGACAUCCAGGAAAUUUUCAGAGAUGAAUUAGUGCCUUCGGGAAUCCUGAGACAGGUGCUGCAUGCUGUCGUCAGCUCGUGUCGUGAGAUGUGGAUAGUCCCGCACGAGCGCAACCCUUGUCAUAGUGCAGCAUAGUGGCACUCUAGGAGACUGCCGGUGACAACGAGAGGUGGGACGACGUCAGUCAUCAUGGCCCUACAAAUAGGCUAACACACGUGCUACAAUGCCAGUACAAAGUAGGCCGAGACGGUGAUGUGGAGCGGACCCUUAAGCCUGUGCGUAAUACGGGAUUGGAGAGUGCCAAUCGACUUCAUGGAAUUCCGAGAUCCUCGUCGAUAAAUCUCCACGGGGAGCGCA
Molecule: ribosomal RNA, 1270 nt
Filed under: uncultured bacterium
Lineage: Bacteria
Description: partial 16S ribosomal RNA
Rfam family: Bacterial small subunit ribosomal RNA
Source: RNAcentral